UACGUAGGGCGCAAGCGUUGUCCGGAAUUAUUGGGCGGAAAGAGCUCGUAGGCGGCUUGUCACGUCGGGUGUGAAAGCCCGGGGCUUAACCCCGGGUCUGCAUUCGAUACGGGCAGGCUAGAGUGUGGUAGGGGAGAUCGGAAUUCCUGGUGUAGCGGUGAAAUGCGUAGAUAUCUGGAGGAACACCGGUGGCGAAGGCGGCAUUCUGGACCGAUAUUGACGCUGAGGAGCGAAAGCCAGGGGGGCAAACGGG
This 253-nucleotide ribosomal RNA is filed under the name uncultured bacterium. RNAcentral's name for it is "partial 16S ribosomal RNA". It matches the Rfam family "Bacterial small subunit ribosomal RNA", at positions 524 to 776 of the family's 1533-position model. The record is from RNAcentral.